AUCAUUUAAAUUGGAGGAUUUCUUUUAUAAGUAUGGAAAGUUUAAUAACCAGAUUUUAUACAAAACAUAAAAGGAAGGACUUGAAUAGCAAAUAUGGGAGUUAGGAGGACAAGUGUCAUUGUAGAGGCCAUUUCUUCAUUUUCUAUUCAUAUAGACACAUACAUCCAAAAUGCUGAAAUGGGAAAAAGAAGCCAGGAAAAAAAAAAUUGGAGGUGUCGGCCAACGAUGCAUAGGAGGGAAGAUACACUUCUUCAAGUAUUGGGUUGUCUUUCAUAUCCUCAUUCCUUCUACAAUCUCAAGUGAGUAAGUUUUAUACAAACUUAGAUUCCUUAUUUUGGGUCAACAAGUGGAAAAUAAGCCCAAUUUCUUGACGGUCUAGUAUGGAUAAACUAUUUUUUUUUUAAAGCUUUUAAGUUAUGUGAAUCAAAUAUAUAUUAAUUCUGGGGUCGGAACUUUGUGGACAGAAAUUCAGCUAGUAGUUGGGUUAGAAUUGAAAUUUAAAUAAAGAAACCAAAAGGCAAGUGAAGAAUUGUCAAUUAAUGAUUUGUUUGGUACCUGUAUAUGUAUGUGUAUAGUGACUGAAAUUAUUAAAAGGGGGACAUACCUAAUUACAUAGCUUGAUGCAAGUGUGGGAAGUUGUAAAUUGGUGAAGAAAGAGAUGAAAUAGUGUUUAAUUGGAAUUAAAUUUAGCUUAAAUGUGGUAAGUUCUUUAUUUAAUUAAUUUUAUUAUUACAGUAGCAAUGAAAAGGGAAAGGAUGAAAAGUGUAGAUAGAAGAUGUUGGAAGGCAAUAUGUUAUUGUGCUAAUAUCGUAGGGAAAUGAAUGUGGAAGAAGAAUAUAUUCUGUAAAUAAAUAUGGCUUCGUAAACAAAAAAAUGUUAUGCUGUAUGGAAAUUAAAAAGGGAAUAAAGGGAUUGCAUAAGGAAUGGAUUAAAUUGUGUAAAACGGUUAUAUAUUUAUAAGGUAGUGAUUUUAAGAAAGUAUAGUAAUUUAAUGGAUUUGAUUAUGAGUUGUGAUAGUUUGGCAAAUAAUCAAAGAGGAGAAGAGUUGGAGAAAUAGAGGUGAAGGUAAACAUGGAAGCUAAGGAAUUAUGUGGCGGAUUAGCAUUGAUUUAAUUGGCAAGUUUUAAUUUGAGUAAUUAUACUGUUAUUUCAGGUAGUGACAUGCAAGCUUGGAAAUGCUCGUCAAUUUAAUCAAAUUUAUAUCCAUAUAUCAGUGAGUGGAAAAAUAUAAAUAUUAUUAAAAUAUUUAUAAAUUAAGUAUAUUGUUAAAGUAAGUGCAAUUAUAUGCAAUUAUGUGUUCGAAUUACAUGAUUAUUAUGGAAAUAUCUUUUAUUAUGAUACAUGUGGGAUUUCAAAGAUUGUAGACGGUACAUUGUGAAUUGGAAUAUGAGAUGUGAUUUUGAGGUCGACCAAAAAAGUACCCGUGAUUAUAUACUUCUAGUUCACAGAGGGGCAUUGCUGUAUUCUAUCCUACACGGAGGGUCUUGACCUGACAUUGGUCUUGAUCGUGUACAUAUAGUUCACAGAGGGGCCUUGGCCGUGUUCUAGAAUUGAUUAUGAGAGGUCUUUGAGACCAGCUUUCGUUCACGGAGGGGGCCAAAGGCCCGUGGUGAAAGUUUUUAGCCCGAGGGGCAGAUUACAGAUUUUAGUCAGAUGGUACAUUUUUCGUGGAUUUUUUAGUAUGUUUGGUGUGAUGAGAUUAUAGCGUGGUUAUCAGCUAAUAUUUAUAUCAUGAUUUUAAGAUGAUAUUUUACGAGCUUAAGUGAAUAUUUCACUUUUGGUUAUAAUUCACAAGAUUACAUUAUGUUAUCUUGUGA
RNAcentral lists this long non-coding RNA (1817 nucleotides) under Olea europaea (common olive). RNAcentral describes it as "long non-coding RNA (OEUR_LNC005069)". The record is from RNAcentral. Lineage: Eukaryota; Viridiplantae; Streptophyta; Magnoliopsida; Lamiales; Oleaceae.